CAUUACAGGAAUUUUUACCAGCUGAGAGUGUGCAGAGCAGUUAUCCACAGCUCCUAGCAAGUAGCUGGAUGCAUGGAGCAGCUUUUCUACCUGUCUAAUAUAAUUGUCAACUAUAAAGUAAUUAUAAAAUGGCAGAAUUUGGGGACCAGCAGCCAGCAUGAGAAGCACCUGGGACUCAACAACAGGCUCCACCAAAGGAACCAGGUGGCUGGACCCUCCCCCAACCCUGCAGGACCAGGCCAUGGGGAAUGACAGCCACACAGACGGACCCGGACUAGGAUGCACAUGAUGGACAGGUGAGACUAGAGAGAUGG
This 314-nucleotide long non-coding RNA is filed under the name Chinchilla lanigera (long-tailed chinchilla). Its description in RNAcentral is "lncRNA (ENSCLAG00000024139.1)". Lineage: Eukaryota; Metazoa; Chordata; Mammalia; Rodentia; Chinchillidae. The record is from RNAcentral.